RNAcentral lists this small RNA (740 nucleotides) under Pan troglodytes (chimpanzee). Its description in RNAcentral is "retained intron". The record is from RNAcentral. Lineage: Eukaryota; Metazoa; Chordata; Mammalia; Primates; Hominidae.
UUACCACCAACUAUAAAACCAAGCAAGGAGGACUUCGUUUUGCUCAUCUUCUGGAUCAGGUCUCCAGAGUAGAUCCUGAAAUGAGGAUCCGCUUUACCUCUCCCCACCCCAAGGAUUUUCCCGAUGAGGUUCUGCAGCUGAUUCAUGAGAGAGAUAACAUCUGUAAACAGAUCCACCUGCCAGCCCAGAGUGGAAGCAGCCGUGUGUUGGAGGCCAUGCGGAGGGGGUCAGGCUUGCUUGGAGAGGGGGCAUCCCUCACUUUUCCAUGUUUCCUUAAUGACCAAACAGUGUCCUUGUUGCCAAGAACCUAGCAUAGUGUGUGGCACAAAGUAGCUGCUCAGUAAAUAUUUAUUGUAUGACUAAGCCACUGGGCACUGGAGUUUGCUUCUGCUCACUUCAUAAGCAAAGGCUAAGGACUGGUCACCCAUUUUCACUGUUUAGUUUAAAAAGCAUAAAUAUUUACUGAGCAGCUACUGUGUGACAGUAAGUAUUUAUUGUAUGACUAUGCCACGGGGCACUGGAGCUUGCUUCGCUAACUCCAUAACAUAGGCUAAGGACUGGGUCACCCAUUUUCACUGUUUAGUAUGUUUUUUUUUAAUUAAGCACCUACGGUGUGGCACACUCUGAGAUUUUAAUUCUUUAAUGUUAACAUUAAGGUUUUGUUACAUCUUGGAAUUUAAAUGUCGCUCUAUGUUUUCACUUUCUUUGAGAAUAAUAAGUAUUACACAGAUGAGACUGAA